Long non-coding RNA from Rhododendron vialii, 894 nucleotides. RefSeq lists it as uncharacterized. The record is from RefSeq and is a predicted model, not a curated record. Lineage: Eukaryota; Viridiplantae; Streptophyta; Magnoliopsida; Ericales; Ericaceae. The transcript has 2 exons.
AAACAGAUCCUUUUACUACUACUAUUCCACAGUUCCAUUCCACUACCCAUAGUAUUUCCCAAAACUCUAGGGUUUCCCAUAAACCUCACUCAGACAUCUCCAAUGGCGGCGUGCUACUAUUCCACAGUUCCACUACUCAUAUUUCCCAAAAAUCUAGUGUUUCCCAUAAGCCUCACUCAGACCUCUCCAAUGGCGUCCACAGCAAUCUCUCUUCCACUCGGAACCAAACUCAGACCAAUCACAAACCCCAGAGUCUUCUCACCAUCGUCGGGUUAAUCGUAAGAAUAAGGUGGUUUUGAAUGCCAUGGAUGGCUUCCGAGAGCAUCCAAGGACCCAAGGCCACAUGGCACCCCACCACCGAGUCCCGAGGAGCAUGAAAAGAAACAUCGAAAAGUGCUUGGGACUCCCAAAGCUGAGGGAAGAAGCAACAAAGAAAGGGGGUAGUUUGCCCAGCCACUACGAGUAGUGCAAAAUCGCACCAUCAAUAUUUAGAGACCGGAGGCCAAACUUUUGCAGCUACUAUAGGUAGUGCAAAUAAUCACUACCCGUAGUAAUUGGUUAGAGGCCAGAAAUUUGCUGUUACUAUAGGUAGUGCGAAAUUUCACUACCGGUCGUAGCUGGAAAAUUCUGCAGAUUUUGUGCCCGAUCCUUAUAACUUAGGGGUACUUUGGACUUUUGUAAAACGUUUUGUAAGGGGUAUGAAUAGGUUCUAACUCCAUUUUACCAGAUUAUCUCCCUUUUUACUUUCUCUCUCUCUAUCUCCCUCUCUUAGGGUUAGCUCUCAAUCCUCCAUGGAUGGAGCUUAGAUUUUUAUUCUCUUGUAAUUUCUUCAAGAAUCAUGCAAGUACUCUUCAUUUCGGUCAAUAUUCUAGUUUAAUUUCAUGUUUAUCUCCA